Molecule: ribosomal RNA, 429 nt
Filed under: Pseudomonadota bacterium
Lineage: Bacteria; Pseudomonadati; Pseudomonadota
Description: Proteobacteria bacterium partial 16S ribosomal RNA
Rfam family: Bacterial small subunit ribosomal RNA
Source: RNAcentral
UGGGGAAUAUUGGACAAUGGGCGAAAGCCUGAUCCAGCCAUGCCGCGUGUGUGAAGAAGGUCUUCGGAUUGUAAAGCACUUUAAGUUGGGAGGAAGGGCAGUAAGCGAAUACCUUGCUGUUUUGACGUUACCGACAGAAUAAGCACCGGCUAACUCUGUGCCAGCAGCCGCGGUAAUACAGAGGGUGCGAGCGUUAAUCGGAUUUACUGGGCGUAAAGCGUGCGUAGGCGGCUAAUUGAGUCGGAUGUGAAAUCCCCGAGCUUAACUUGGGAAUUGCAUUCGAUACUGGUUAGCUAGAGUGUGGGAGAGGAUGGUAGAAUUCCAGGUGUAGCGGUGAAAUGCGUAGAGAUCUGGAGGAAUACCGAUGGCGAAGGCAGCCAUCUGGCCUAACACUGACGCUGAGGUACGAAAGCAUGGGGAGUAAACAGG